This is a long non-coding RNA of Rhinichthys klamathensis goyatoka, 675 nucleotides long. RefSeq lists it as uncharacterized. The transcript has 3 exons. NCBI's taxonomy places the organism in Eukaryota, Metazoa, Chordata, Actinopteri, Cypriniformes, Leuciscidae. The record is from RefSeq and is a predicted model, not a curated record.
CACUCCUACAGAGAUAUAAAACACAAUACAUGACUUAAAAAAUCAGAUGCCCUAUAAAGAACAGCUUGCGACUUGGCAAGUACCCGUUAUUAAUUGCUGUCAACAUCCAUGUAGACCAGGAGUGCCCAAUCCUACUUCUGGAGAGCCAUAGUCCUGCAGAGUUUAGUUCCAACCCUAAUAAAACAAAUCUGAAUCAGCCAUUAAGAUUUACUAGGAUUACCUGAAAUUAGUGUGUUGGAACUAUUUUUUGCAGGACCUUUGCCUGUCAGCAUUAGGAUUGGGCUCCCCUGCUUUAGACUCUUAGCAUACAGUUACAAAAUGUGCAAACUUAAGGUUUCAAACAAGUUAAUAAUAUGUUCACCCACACCCACAGAUUACCUGUAUAUCCCAGCAGGCAUUCACACAGGUCUCACCACGAAAACCGUCUGAACAAGUGCAUUCAAAUCCAUCCACUAUACGUCUACAGGUGCCAUUGUUGAGGCAGGGUUCAUCAACACAGUCUGUGAUGCGACGACUGCAGUCCUCUCCUCCAAAACCAGGCAUUGAGACAGAAGGAGAGAGGGAACUUACCCCAUUUGAACAUCAUCAUGGUCAGUAAAAAUGUCCCGGGGCAUUUCAGAUGCACUUUCCUGAUCUCCAUGGUGACGUGAGACAAUCCAAACAUACCAAACUAGC